This 248-nucleotide ribosomal RNA is filed under the name uncultured bacterium. Its description in RNAcentral is "partial small subunit ribosomal RNA". It matches the Rfam family "Bacterial small subunit ribosomal RNA", at positions 26 to 286 of the family's 1533-position model. The record is from RNAcentral.
AGAAUCAACGCUGGCGGCGUGCCUAACACAUGCAAGUCGAACGAGAAAGUGGGAGCAAUCCCACGAGUAAAGUGGCGCACGGGUGAGUAACACGUGACUAACCUACCCUUGAGUGGGGGAUAACCUAGGGAAACCGGGGCUAAUACCGCAUAAUACCUACGGGUCAAAGGAGCAAUUCGCUUAAGGAGGGGGUCGCGGCAGAUUAGUUAGUUGGCGGGGUAAUGGCCCACCAAGACAGUGAUCUGUAU